Molecule: unclassified non-coding RNA, 391 nt
Filed under: soil metagenome
Description: partial contains 5.8S ribosomal RNA, internal transcribed spacer 2, and large subunit ribosomal RNA
Rfam family: 5.8S ribosomal RNA (bases 1-122)
Source: RNAcentral
GAUGAAGAACGCAGCGAAAUGCGAUACUUAGUGUGAAUUGCAGAAUCCCGUGAACCAUCGAGUCUUUGAACGCAAGUUGCGCCCGAAGCCACUAGGCCGAGGGCACGCCUGCCUAGGCGUCACACGCCGUUGCCCCCCCAUCUACUCCUUCGGGAUUGCGGGGGGGCGGAUGAUGGCCUCCCGUGCGCCUAGCCGCGCGGUUGGCAUAAAUACCAAGUCCUCGGCGACGCACGCCACGACAAUCGGUGGUUGCGAAACCUCGGUUGCCCGUCGUGUGCGUUCGUCGCGCAUCGAGGGCUCGAAAAAAUGCUCGGCUCCGGCUGGGCUUUCAACGCGACCCCAGGUCAGGCGGGGUUACCCGCUGAAUUUAAGCAUAUCAAUAAGCGGAGGA